Molecule: ribosomal RNA, 406 nt
Filed under: uncultured bacterium
Lineage: Bacteria
Description: partial 16S ribosomal RNA
Rfam family: Bacterial small subunit ribosomal RNA
Source: RNAcentral
AUUGAACGCUGGCGGCAGGCUUAACACAUGCAAGUCGAGCGAGCGGAGGACGUGUGUGAAAUGUCUGGGACAUUGCUUGUUGGAGGGGGAUAACUAAUGGAACCGGUAGCUAAUCCCGCAUACCAUCAGAUGUGCCCAGAUGGGAUUAGUUAUGAGUUGGGGGAAUGGCGCACAUAGGCGACGAUCCCUAGAUGGUCUGAGAGGAUGACCGGCCCAACGGGAACUUGGACAGGGUCCAGACUCCUACGGGAGGCAGCAGUGGGGAAUAUUGCACAAUGGGCGCAAGCCUGAUGAAGCCAUGCCGGGGGUUUGAAGAAGGCCUUCGGGUUGUAAAGCACUUUCAGCGAGGAGGCGUUAAUCGCAGAAGAAGCAACGGCUAACUCCGUGCCAGCAGCCGCGGUAAUUC